GAUGAACGCUAGCUACAGGCUUAACACAUGCAAGUCGAGGGGCAGCAUGGAGGUAGCUUGCUAUCUCCGAUGGCGACCGGCGCACGGGUGAGUAACGCGUAUCCAACCUUCCCUGAGGUAGGGGACAGCCCGGUGAAAACCGGAUUAACUCCUGAUAGUUUCACUAGAUGGCAUCUGACGGUGAAUAAAGCUUAGCGGUAAGGGAUGGGGAUGCGUCUGAUUAGCUUGUUGGCGGGGUAACGGCCCACCAAGGCGACGAUCAGUAGGGGUUCUGAGAGGAAGGUCCCCCACAUUGGAACUGAGACACGGUCCAAACUCC
RNAcentral lists this ribosomal RNA (319 nucleotides) under uncultured Prevotella sp. RNAcentral describes it as "bacterial SSU rRNA". It matches the Rfam family "Bacterial small subunit ribosomal RNA", at positions 28 to 339 of the family's 1533-position model. Lineage: Bacteria; Pseudomonadati; Bacteroidota; Bacteroidia; Bacteroidales; Prevotellaceae. The record is from RNAcentral.